GACGAACGCUGGCGGCGUGCUUAACACAUGCAAGUCGAGCGGUAAAGGCCCUUUCGGGGGUACACGAGCGGCGAACGGGUGAGUAACACGUGGGUGACCUGCCCUCAGCUCUGGGAUAAGCCUGGGAAACUGGGUCUAAUACUGGAUAUGACUCCACGGUGCAUGUCGUGGGGUGGAAAGCCUUGUGCGGCUGAGGAUGGGCCCGCGGCCUAUCAGCUUGUUGGUGGGGGAUGGCCUACCAAGGCGACGACGGGUAGCCGGCCUGAGAGGGCGACCGGCCACACUGGGACUGAGACACGGCCCAGACUCCUACGGGAGGCAGCAGGUGGGGAAUCUUGCGCAAUGGGCGAAAGCCUGACGCAGCGACGCCGCGC
RNAcentral lists this ribosomal RNA (374 nucleotides) under uncultured bacterium. Its description in RNAcentral is "bacterial SSU rRNA". It matches the Rfam family "Bacterial small subunit ribosomal RNA", at positions 28 to 402 of the family's 1533-position model. The record is from RNAcentral.